Molecule: unclassified non-coding RNA, 45 nt
Filed under: Planktothrix tepida PCC 9214
Lineage: Bacteria; Bacillati; Cyanobacteriota; Cyanophyceae; Oscillatoriales; Microcoleaceae
Description: U7
Source: RNAcentral
UCAAUAAGAAUUAGAAAAAAAAUCCCCCUGAUUCAGGGGGAUGAA